AGAGAGUUAGUAUCCAUUGAUACAAAGGUUGGUUCAUUAGUUUUUUUAAAAUUGAAAGGUCCAUAUUUAUGCAUUCAACUUUGAUUUUUUUUAUGCUUCUGAAUUUUUUUCAUUUCAUAAAUAAAAGUUAUUUACUUUUUUAAUAUUGAAUACAAUUUGUUUGAAUUUUUAUUUUUUAAAAUUUGUCUAUAUCUCUCCCCCUCUCCCUCUAUGUUUUUC
RNAcentral lists this long non-coding RNA (219 nucleotides) under Lathyrus oleraceus (garden pea). Its description in RNAcentral is "Pisum sativum (pea) long non-coding RNA (PSAT_LNC040630)". The record is from RNAcentral. Lineage: Eukaryota; Viridiplantae; Streptophyta; Magnoliopsida; Fabales; Fabaceae.